This 274-nucleotide ribosomal RNA is filed under the name uncultured bacterium. Its description in RNAcentral is "partial 16S ribosomal RNA". It matches the Rfam family "Bacterial small subunit ribosomal RNA", at positions 523 to 796 of the family's 1533-position model. The record is from RNAcentral.
AUACGGAGGGUGCAAACGUUGCUCGGAAUCAUUGGGCGUAAAGCGCGCGUAGGCGGCCUGAUAAGUUGGAUGUGAAAGCCCUCGGCUUAACCGGGGAAGUGCAUACAAAACUGUCAGGCUUGAGUAUGAGAGAGGAUUGCGGAAUUCCCGGUGUAGAGGUGAAAUUCGUAGAUAUCGGGAGGAACACCAGCGGCGAAGGCGGCAAUCUGGACCAAUACUGACGCUGAGGUGCGAAAGCGUGGGGAGCAAACAGGAUUAGAAACCCUAGUAGUCC